CAGCGGUGGAAAAGAAACCAAAAGGGAUUCCCCGAGUAACGGCGAGUGAAAAGGGAACAGCCCAGCGCAAAGGCCGCUCGCCCCACGGGGUGCUGCGUGCGAUGCUGCGUUAAUGCCGGGGCGACAGCCUCCAAGGCGACCGCGCGUUCAAGUUCCUUUGAAUAGGACCAACUAACCCACAGCGGGUGGAAGGCCCAUAGAGCGCCGCGGCCGUCGACGAGCUAGCCUCGGCAUGGUAGAGUCCCGUUGCUUGAGAGUGCAGCGGCAAGACGCGAGGUAAACUCCUCGUAAGGCUAAAUAAGACUGCGAGACCGAUAGCAAACAAGUACCGUGAGGGAAAGUUGCAAAGAACUUUGAAGAGAGAGUUCAAAAGGACGUGAAACCGCUUGCGGGUAAACGGGUGGAGCCACGAAGUCAGAACGGGGCGGGAAUUCAGCCGUCGGCCGGGUGUAGGUGUGUAGCGUGGGUCUCCUCGGAGAACUCGCUGCGUGCCGUCGAUGCCUGGCCGGCGGUGCACUUUCUGCGGCCCCGGGAAGAUGCCCUGACCGAUGGGAGCGCUGCGGCAGCCGGUAACGGGAGUCCAGCGGGAAGGUAGCGACAAGGCGUCCUCGGACGCCGCGACGUGUUAUAGCCCGCUGCUCGGUACUUGCCGCAGAACGCCUAUCGGGGAGAAAACAGCCUUCGGGCUUAGCAGACGGGGGGAGAGCUCGGUGCGCGGUGGACAGCGCGUUGUGCGACGCUACGGCGCCUUCGGGCGUCGUGCCCGUGCAUCGCAAUGCCCAGCGCCGCGUGCCAAGCGUCCCCUCCCCGAGCAAUCGAGGG
Molecule: ribosomal RNA, 822 nt
Filed under: Linopodes sp.
Lineage: Eukaryota; Metazoa; Arthropoda; Arachnida; Trombidiformes; Cocceupodidae
Description: partial large subunit ribosomal RNA
Rfam family: Eukaryotic large subunit ribosomal RNA
Source: RNAcentral